RNAcentral lists this long non-coding RNA (553 nucleotides) under Macaca mulatta (Rhesus monkey). RNAcentral describes it as "lncRNA (ENSMMUG00000053472.1)". The record is from RNAcentral. Lineage: Eukaryota; Metazoa; Chordata; Mammalia; Primates; Cercopithecidae.
GGCGAGGCCUUGGGAUGACUGAGGUCACCUUUUUCCAGGCCAAGAGACCCACCAGAGGAGGACCUGCUCCCCAGGUCAUCACUGCCGCCAGGGCACUAGCCACCUCCCUAGGCCCUGUCCUCCAGGCGUGUCCAGUCCCUGGGAGGACCGAAGCCAGGCCCACAGCUGCCCACCAUGUCCUGCAGGAGCUGAGGUCACUCAUCCCAAUAAAGACAUCCAUGUGAGUGCAGGGGGGCCCUGCCCUCCAGGUCACUUCUGUCCAGUGGGCAUGGGGGUGCCCCUGCCAUGCCCUGUGGGCACCUUCUCAGAUCGGAUAUUUCUCUCCACGGCCUCUGAGUGCCUGUCCUGUCCCCCCGGCUAUUUCUGCGGUGCCUCUGGCCUGGCUGCGCCCUCCGGCCCCUGCUCCCCCGGCUACUUCUGUCUGGCAGGAGCCUCCUCCCCAACCCCGACAGGUAUGGAGCCCCCUGGGAGUGGGUGGGCCCUGUACCACCCAAUGCCCUGAAGUGGGGGCUCUGAUGGUUUGGCGCCGAUGGGCUGUGGGUGGUUUGAGGAC